CCCAGUGAUGCGGAAAUUGCCAAACUGCUCCCAUUAUGCACGCUGGCCAGAUCAGACAUCGCGUGCUGCCGCGCCAGGUCACAUGAAGUACAGCGGGAGGGGGCGCGUGGUUUCUUUUCUUCUUCUUCGGCUUCCGACAAAAUAGCAGCAGCAUGUGGGACUCACGCUGUCUCAACUCGGAGUUCGCAGGAAGUGAGCAAAUCCCGGUGCUUGGAGGAGGAGGAGGAGGAGGAGAAGGAGGUCUGGUGCCGUUGAAGCUCAGCACGUGCGAAAGCCGAUCCCUCCGCCGGGCUGCCAGGCACUCGCGGACUUGAAAGGGGGGACCAACAUGUGGAAGCUGUAAGGCACCCAUAGCCAAUGUCAAACUUGCUAGACGGUCAAUUUACAGGCCCUUCCGUGGGGAAAACCCGUUAUUUCAAUUUAAACUUUUUUUCACCUUUCCUACAGGGCCAACAAGUGCUGUCUGGCAGCAAUGUGUAACUUUGCAACAGAUUUGGGUUCCAGAUACGAUAUGUAUAAAAAGCAGCGCAAUAAUAAUUGCAAAAUUUAGCAGUUUUUUUUUUCUCUCACAAUACUGCCAAAGUCUAAUUGCUUGCAGCCCUCUAGCAGCACAGAAAAGAUCAAUGGGCUUCAGAAUGUAAUUUCAGCAUGAAUUUAUUGCACACUUGCGUUAUGUUUUAUAUUAUACUUGUUGUGCGCAAGCCCACUUUGCAAUUUCCUUGCAUAUAAUACAACGGCUGUGAGUUGCUCUGAUAUGUUUGCUGUGGCUCAUUUUCCUCGGGACACAAAAUCAAUGCUAAUUUCCCGUUUCUAAAGCGGACCUCCGUGGCAUUUGCCCGGUAAAUUUGUUGCAGGUAACGCCAUGCAAAUCGCCCACCUUACAUUAAAGUUAAUUAAAGCAUGGGCCGUAAAAUGUUUGAUACGGUGAGUGGGCUACAAUCCUUGCAAAUGGCCUUCAUCUAUAUUAAAUAAAACAUAGAUAGUAGGGGGACAACACACAUUUCAACAUAUUUGUUGAACGACCUCAAUUAGUCGAAUGCACUUAAACAUAUCCAGCCAAUUCUCCUUUUUUCUUAGAAAUAUAUUCAGACAAAAUGCGUUCA
Petromyzon marinus (sea lamprey) is the source of this 1103-nucleotide long non-coding RNA. RefSeq lists it as uncharacterized. The record is from RefSeq and is a predicted model, not a curated record. Lineage: Eukaryota; Metazoa; Chordata; Hyperoartia; Petromyzontiformes; Petromyzontidae.